Molecule: transfer RNA, 72 nt
Filed under: Tapinoma nigerrimum
Lineage: Eukaryota; Metazoa; Arthropoda; Insecta; Hymenoptera; Formicidae
Also listed under: 4 other names
Description: tRNA-Pro
Source: RNAcentral
CAAAAAAUAGUUUAAAAUAUAUGAAUAUUAAUUUUGGAGAUUAAAGGUAUAAAAUAAAUUUUAUUUUUUUGA